UACGAAGGGGGCUAGCGUUGCUCGGAAUCACUGGGCGUAAAGGGUGCGUAGGCGGGGCUUUAAGUCAGGGGUGAAAUCCUGGAGCUCAACUCCAGAACUGCCUUUGAUACUGGGAGUCUUGAGUUCGGGAGAGGUGAGUGGAACUGCGAGUGUAGAGGUGAAAUUCGUAGAUAUUCGCAAGAACACCAGUGGCGAAGGCGGCUCACUGGCCCGAUACUGACGCUGAGGUGCGAAAGCCAGGGGAGCAAACGGG
RNAcentral lists this ribosomal RNA (253 nucleotides) under uncultured bacterium. Its description in RNAcentral is "partial 16S ribosomal RNA". It matches the Rfam family "Bacterial small subunit ribosomal RNA", at positions 524 to 776 of the family's 1533-position model. The record is from RNAcentral.